RNAcentral lists this ribosomal RNA (892 nucleotides) under uncultured archaeon. RNAcentral's name for it is "bacterial SSU rRNA". It matches the Rfam family "Archaeal small subunit ribosomal RNA", at positions 1 to 903 of the family's 1478-position model. The record is from RNAcentral.
GAUUCCUGUCCGGAUUCCUGACUGCUACUCGGAUUGGUACUAAGCCAUGUGAGUCGUUGCAGCAAUGCAAGGCAGACGGCUCAGUAACACGUAGUCAACCUAACCUAUGGACGGGGAUAACCUCGGGAAACUGAGAAUAAUACCCGAUAGAUCAUGAUACCUGGAACGGUUUAUGGUCCAAAUGAUUUAUCGCCAUAGGAUGGGACUGCGGUCUAUCAGCUUGUUGGUGAGGUAAUGGCCCACCAAGGCUAUAACAGAUACGGGCUCUGAGAGGAGGGGCCCGGAGAUGGGUACUGAGACACGGACCCAGGUCCUAUGGGGCGCAGCAGGCGAGAAACCUUUGCAAUGUGCGAAAGCACGACAAGGUUAAUCCGAGUGAUUCCUGCUAAAGGAAUCUUUUGUUAGUCAUAAAACCACUGAUGAAUAAGGGGUGGGCAAGUUCUGGUGUCAGCCGCCGCGGUAAUACCAGCACCUCGAGUGGUCAGGAGGUUUAUUGGGCCUAAAGCAUCCGUAGCCGGCUGUUCAAGUUUCCGGUUAAAUCCACACGCUUAACGUAUGGGCUGCCGGAAAUACUGUUCAGCUAGGGAGUGGGAGAGGUAGACGGUACUCGAUAGGUAGGGGUAAAAUCCUUUGAUCUAUUGAUGACCACCUGUGGCGAAGGCGGUCUACCAGAACACGUUCGACGGUGAGGGAUGAAAGCUGGGGGAGCAAACCGGAUUAGAUACCCGGGUAGUCCCAGCUGUAAACGAUGCAGACUCGGUGAUGCAUUGGCUUGUGGCCAGUGCAGUGCCGCAGGGAAGCCGUUAAGUUUGCCGCCUGGGAAGUACGUACGCAAGUAUGAAACUUAAAGGAAUUGGCGGGGGAGCACCACAAGGGGUGAAGCCUGCGGUUC